CUUAGACAUUAAUGGAGCUGAAUCUUCAAUUAUCAGAAAGUUUUAACUCAUAUAUUCUAGAGAAUUCCAAAUGAAUUAAGUGCUCACUAUGUCCCUCUCUAAAUUCAUUCUCUUGGUCUCCUUGAAAAAAAGAAGACGCUGACUUUCAAAUGACUUUUUAAAAACCCUCUCCUCCAUUCUCACCAGACAGAUGAAACUACUGAACUCCUAAAAUUCUUAAGAAGAGGAAACCCUGGCCAUUUUUAGCUGCUUAAUAACAUCCGCAUUGUCCAAAGAACUCUUUCUUUAGUCUAACCAAUUUAUUUUAUUCUACUGUUUUCUAAUCUCAGAAAAUAAUCAAUGUUUGCAUCUUUUUUGCAGAAGUCAUGGUAUAGAGUAAUAAGUUCUCUUUUCACCCAUAGUGGAAACUGUUCUAUAGACUGUUGUUAAAAUUGCUAGUGUUACUAUCACGAUAAUGAUGAUAAUGAUGAUCUAACUAUUUUACAUACUUUGAAAGGGCUGAUGCUGUUAUUAUAGGUCUUCUUGGUCUGUUCUUUUGCAGGGUGUGAAUGGAGUUGUCCAGUACCCAAAGGGGUUUCUAAAGGAAGCCUUUGAGCUGGUGCGAGCAAGGGGAGGCGUGUGCAUUGCAGAUGAAGUGCAGACAGGAUUUGGAAGGUUGGGCUCUCACUUCUGGGGCUUCCAAACCCACGAUGUCCUGCCUGACAUUGUCACCAUGGCUAAAGGGAUUGGGAAUGGCUUUCCCAUGGCAGCAGUCAUAACCACUCCAGAGAUUGCCAAAUCUUUGGCGAAACGCCUGCAGCACUUCAACACCUUUGGAGGGAACCCCAUGGCCUGUGCCAUUGGAUCUGCUGUGCUUGAGGUGAUUAAAGAAGAAAAUCUACAGGAAAACAGUCAAGAAGUUGGGACCUACAUGUUACUAAAGUUUGCUAAGCUGCGGGAUGAAUUUGAAAUUGUUGGAGACGUCCGAGGCAAAGGCCUCAUGAUAGGCAUAGAAAUGGUGCAGGAUAAGAUAAGCUGUCGGCCUCUUCCCCGUGAAGAAGUAAAUCAGAUACAUGAGGACUGCAAGCACAUGGGACUCCUCGUUGGCAGAGGCAGCAUUUUUUCUCAGACAUUUCGCAUUGCGCCCUCAAUGUGCAUCACUAAACCAGAAGUUGAUUUUGCAGUAGAAGUAUUUCAUUCUGCCUUAACCCAACACAUGGAAAGAAGAGCUAAGUAACAUUGUCAGAAAUAAAGAAAACCACAAGUCUCAAGAAUUUGCCACUUAUGUUCAAGGGUGAAUUUGAAGAAUUUCAGAACCACUGGUAUCCAGAGAAAACCUGCAGCUCUCCACAGGAGCUGUAAAAGACAUGGUUGACUGCCUACCAACCAUAUUUGUUAGCAGAGCCCCUAUUAUCUUGAGAACUCCAUUCUUCAGGGAAAAGAUCUCCCUAGCUCAGAGAAUAAAUCGUAAUUAGUUUAUGUUAGGUACGGUAAUUUGAUUCCCCUUUGCAGUGAUUGGUUUAUGCAUGAAUAUGUGAUGUAUUUUUGUCCAGUGAAUCUUGAAGAAAAAUCUUUUGGUGGAGGUGCCUUCAGGGAAAGUUUUCUUCACCCUCACUCUUCAGUUCAAGAAGAGAUGUCUUCUUGUUGCGCUGAGAACACCAUAUGUUCAUGACGAGAUUCCUGGCACCAUGUCAGGCGGCUUGUAGUCAUGAGGACAACCCUUUUUGGUGAGGUUGGAAGAUGGAUGGAAGCCAAGUGCUUAGUGAUGUCAAAGAAGCGCUCACUUAAGCAUUCCUGGAGCCACCCUACCUCAGGGCUUCUUGAUAUUUGAGGUAAUAAAUUCAUUGCUCUGU
This 1832-nucleotide small RNA is filed under the name Pan troglodytes (chimpanzee). Its description in RNAcentral is "retained intron". The record is from RNAcentral. Lineage: Eukaryota; Metazoa; Chordata; Mammalia; Primates; Hominidae.